GUGGGGAAUCUUGCGCAAUGGGCGAAAGCCUGAUCCAGCCAUGCCGCGUGUGUGAAGAAGGUCUUCGGAUUGUAAAGCACUUUAAGUUGGGAGGAAGGGUAGUAACCUAAUACGUUGCUACUUUGACGUUACCGACAGAAUAAGCACCGGCUAACUUCGUGCCAGCAGCCGCGGUAAUACGAAGGGUGCAAGCGUUAAUCGGAAUUACUGGGCGUAGAGCGCGCGUAGGUGGUUCAGUAAGUUGGAAGUGAAAUCCCCGGGCUCAACCUGGGAACUGCUUUCAAAACUGCUGAGCUAGAGUACGGUAGAGGGUGGUGGAAUUUCCUGUGUAGCGGUGAAAUGCGUAGAUAUAGGAAGGAACACCAGUGGCGAAGGCGACCACCUGGACUGAUACUGACACUGAGGUGCGAAAGCGUGGGGAGCAAACAGGAUUAGAAACCCUAGUAGUCC
RNAcentral lists this ribosomal RNA (450 nucleotides) under uncultured bacterium. RNAcentral describes it as "partial 16S ribosomal RNA". It matches the Rfam family "Bacterial small subunit ribosomal RNA", at positions 354 to 796 of the family's 1533-position model. The record is from RNAcentral.